GGGGCCGACUGGUUUUGACAGCAAGUGGAAUUAAAUAGUAAGCACGUCGAGCGUUGUAAUGUAGCUCGUAAAUAUCAUGUUGCAACACUUUUACACGGCGAAAAUAACUACGCUCUAGCUGCAUAAUCUGAAUUAUAGUAAGAUUAGCCUUGUUCCUAUCAGAUAGGAAAGCAAGAUUCUCCUUGAAAGCCUUGGUUUGUGGCGUUCUUUAAAGGGGAACCGUAAAAAUAGACCUAGAGAUGGUUACGCUUCGGAGCCAUUUUGACAACUAAGAAGAUAAGGAUCAUGUGGCUGUUUCUGGCCGAGCAUGAUUACGAAAAUUCAAUCGGAAAAUAAGCGUGUAGAAAGCUUUUUGAUUGCUUGUUUGGACCCGGGUUCGAUUCCCGGCGGCUCCACAA
Molecule: transfer-messenger RNA, 398 nt
Filed under: Flavobacterium kingsejongi
Lineage: Bacteria; Pseudomonadati; Bacteroidota; Flavobacteriia; Flavobacteriales; Flavobacteriaceae
Description: Standard tmRNA
Rfam family: transfer-messenger RNA
About the family: Bacterial tmRNA, also known as 10Sa RNA or SsrA, is named for its dual tRNA and mRNA-like properties.
Source: Rfam by way of RNAcentral